AUUGAACGCUGGCGGCAGGCUUAACACAUGCAAGUCGAGCGGGGUGAUGGUGCUUGCACUAUCACUUAGCGGCGGACGGGUGAGUAAUGCUUAGGAAUCUGCCUAUUAGUGGGGGACAACAUCUCGAAAGGGAUGCUAAUACCGCAUACGUCCUACGGGAGAAAGCAGGGGAUCACUUGUGACCUUGCGCUAAUAGAUGAGCCUAAGUCGGAUUAGCUAGUUGGUGGGGUAAAGGCCUACCAAGGCGACGAUCUGUAGCGGGUCUGAGAGGAUGAUCCGCCACACUGGGACUGAGACACGGCCCAGACUCCUACGGGAGGCAGCAGUGGGGAAUAUUGGACAAUGGGGGAAACCCUGAUCCAGCCAUGCCGCGUGUGUGAAGAAGGCCUUAUGGUUGUAAAGCACUUUAAGCGAGGAGGAGGCUACUGAGACUAAUACUCUUGGAUAGUGGACGUUACUCGCAGAAUAAGCACCGGCUAACUCUGUGCCAGCCGCCGCCGUAA
RNAcentral lists this ribosomal RNA (503 nucleotides) under uncultured bacterium. Its description in RNAcentral is "partial 16S ribosomal RNA". It matches the Rfam family "Bacterial small subunit ribosomal RNA", at positions 30 to 523 of the family's 1533-position model. The record is from RNAcentral.